GCGGAGUGGAGUAGCCAGGUAACUCGUUGGUCUCAUAAGCCAAAGAUCGUAGGUUCAAAUCCUACCUCUCGCA
Molecule: transfer RNA, 73 nt
Filed under: Emticicia sp. TH156
Lineage: Bacteria; Pseudomonadati; Bacteroidota; Cytophagia; Cytophagales; Leadbetterellaceae
Rfam family: tRNA
About the family: Transfer RNA (tRNA) molecules are approximately 80 nucleotides in length. Their secondary structure includes four short double-helical elements and three loops (D, anti-codon, and T loops). Further hydrogen bonds mediate the characteristic L-shaped molecular structure. tRNAs have two regions of fundamental functional importance: the anti-codon, which is responsible for specific mRNA codon recognition, and the 3' end, to which the tRNAs corresponding amino acid is attached (by aminoacyl-tRNA synthetases). tRNAs cope with the degeneracy of the genetic code in two manners: having more than one tRNA (with a specific anti-codon) for a particular amino acid; and 'wobble' base-pairing, i.e. permitting non-standard base-pairing at the 3rd anti-codon position.
Source: Rfam by way of RNAcentral